ACCCUUCAUGCUAAAAACUCUCAAUAAAUUAGGUAUUGAUGGGACGUAUUUCAAAAUAAUAAGAGGAAACACUUUUCAACAUGUUUUAUGAGUCUACCGUUAUCCCCAUACCAAAACCAUAAAACAGACAUUACAAGAAAAUGUCCUGUAGACAAAUAUGUAUUUUGAUGAUGAAUUUAGAUUUCAAAAACUUCAGCAAAAUAUUAUCCAAUUAAAUCCUCUCAUGUCUGUGUGUGUGUGUGUGUGCAUGCACGUGUGUUUGUAAAAUAUAUCAUUACUAAUUGGCGUUUAUCUUGGGAGUUCAAGAUGGUUUCCAUAUUCAAUCAACCCAUCAAUGUGGACUAUGGUCACUUGAAAAGACCAGCAAAUCCUCUGCACAAAAGGCCACUAGAAAUUCAUUAAAGCAGCCUUCCAUCAUUCUCGAAAUUGACCAAAGCAUUCAACUACCUGAGAAAUAUUUAUGUUUGGAAAGCUAUUGAAAUGCAAUUAAAAAUAUCAGGAAACCUGUUUUUACCUUUUGUCCUAAUCUUGCUAAAUCCUUCUUAAUUUUAGGAGACACUGCUUCUCCUUCCACUGUUCUUUUACUUUCUCCUUCCCCUUUGUUUUUGCCUCCCCCUUCCUCUCCCUUUUCUACAUUCCUUCUCUCUCCUAAAUGCUGUAUAAAUUUCUACAUAUGUAAUCAUAUUAUUUACAAAUAGGAACAGUUUUACUUAUUUCUUUCCAGUCUGCAUUUAUUUUAUUCUUCCUUUUUUUCCUUACACACUGGAUAGAACUCUAAGUAUUAUGUUGAAAAAGAGUGAUAAAAGCAAACAUCUUUGCUUUAUUCCUGAGCAUACAUGUGGAAAACAUUCAGUGUUUCACAGCUAAAUAUGAUGGAUUUUUUGUAUGCUCUUUAUCAAGAUGAAGGAAUUUUCUGCUAUUUCUGGUUUGCUGAAUUUUUAUCACAAGUAACUGUUGAAUAGUGUCUUUUUCCCCUGCAUUUAUUGAACUGAUCAUGCAUUCUCCUAUUUUAGAAUAUUAAUAUGAUGAACUAUAUUAUUAGAUUUUUUAAAAUAUUGCAACUGUCUUGCAUUUCUGGAAUAAACAUGGCUUGGUCAUGUGUCACUUUUUUACAUAGUGUCGUAUUCAAGUUGUCGAGGAUUUUGCAUCUAGGGUAUAUUUGUAGAUUUGCAUCUAGGUUAUGUUGGUCUAAAGUUUUGUUUGUUUGUUUUCCUUUUCUUUUUUUUUAUCAUCUUUGUCUUCUUCUGUUUAAGUGUCAUGCUUGCUUCAUAAAAUGAAUUGAGAAGCAUUUCUUCCUCUUCUGUUUCUCGAAAAUUGUAGAGAACUCUUGUUUUUUGUUGUUGUUUGUUUGUUGUUUUGUUUUUUCUUAUUUUUAUCCUCAUACUGAGAACCAAACAGUCUGGAGUGUAAAACAUGGUUCCUCAUUCCAGUUAAAUCUAGUAUACAAUGACAACAACCCUCUUGGGUUAAGCAUUGGCCUACAAACAGAAAAAAACCUUCAGGGAGAUAGAUGCUGAUCUAGGCAUUGUGAGAAAAGCUGAAUUCAUUUUUAAUCAUGAAUGGCUUUUAAGGAAAGAAGAUUUAUUAACUAAAAUAAAUAGAUUAGAGGGAAUUCUCACCUAUGAGAGAGGAAGGGAUGGGAUUCAACCUGGAAAAAGUAAUGAAGUUUUAGUGAACUUGGUAAGGUAGACUCAACAAUUAAUGAUGGAUAAUGCUAGGACCCAACACUGGUAAUGAGUUUGUAUUAUGACUCAAUAGCAUCACUUUAUCACUUUAACACAGAUGGAGGCCUAAAUAACCAUAGGGUAAUGGUUCUUCUUAGAUGCAGAAGGACACAUUUAUAUAAUCUUAGGGACCCCAUCUCUGAGGUCACUCAUAAUUUAUAUUAAUUCAUUGUUAUUGCCAUUGCCCCAAGAAUAGAUAAGGAUAAGACAUCCUGUAGUACAGGUAGCAGAGAUAUAAACUAUUCUUAUUCUUGUGUCUUGUCUAUAGGAAGGGAGUGUAUCCUGGUGUAAGACAGCAUAUAGUAGAGACCAUUGUCAAUUAGGGCCUGUGAACUAAGACAGGGUGACUGGCUAAGUCCACAACCCAUUAGAAACCCAGAAAUAAUCAAAUCAUGGUGAGUAGUAAUAACACUUAUUUAUAAUACUAUACGGUAUAAAGACAAGAACCAAUUAUGUUGAGUAGCUGUAACAAAUAGCUCUAUCAUUCGUAAUAACUUUUUCUGUAAUAAAACUGAAUUGUAACAUGAUCAUACUGCAAUAUGACAUUACACUAGCAUUGUUGGUAAGAUUCAACUAUCUUAUGUAGAGAAGUUAUAUAAUGCUUAUAUUGAUAAUCAAAUGUAUUAAGAUAUUGAGUUAAAGCCUCUUCAGAAUGUAAUCUGGGUGAAUAAUAAAUGGCCUGAGAAAACAGAAUUCAGCUAACCAUUAUCUAAUUUCAAUGCUAAAUAGUUCUGCACAGAUUUAUCAAAAAGUAAAAAUAAAAGCAGAUUGAGAGGAGGAAUGAAUAAUUUUGUUUGUACAAAAUAUUAAAGUGUAUGUAAUGGGCUUGUAGGAUGCAUUAGUAAUUUUUAAAAAUCAAUCUUUACCCUACACUGUGUCCAUAAAAUGCUAGGCAUAUUCAUGUUAAUAUUACUGUUGUUACUGUCAUAUAAAUGCCAUAUUCAAUGUAGAUGCUCAGAAAAAUAUGAUUGUUUUGCUACAGGAGAGAUUAGACCAGGGACAAUAAAUAUGGAUUAGGCAAGAAUGUGUUAACUCAGCAGCCCAGGGUUUUUUCAACCCUGCACAUUCAAAGGUAAGGUUUGUUUUUAGGACUAGCUAGCCUCUGAGUUCUGGAAAUAGUCUUACCGUGAAGAGUGUUUUUGUAUAUCUGAGGCCUUGGGUUUAUGGUGAAUGACUGACUUAUAUGCCUGAGGCCCUGAGCCAUGCUGUAUUUAUUUGAACCAUGUGGUAUCAAUUUAACCAGAUACGUUUAUUCUAAGAUAUGAUUUAUGCUGAAUGCCUGGUUUUGUUCUAGAGGGAUCAUGGAAAGGAAGCUGAAUUUGCCAAGUUUUGCCACUUGGGCAUUGCAUGCCUAUGUGAUUAACCACCAAUAAAAACCUGGGACAUCAAAGAAUAAAUAAGCUGCUCUAAUUGCCAAGAAUUCACAUGUGGUUGUAUGCAGCUUUACUGGGAGACUGAAGUGUAUCUGCAUGUGAUUCUGCUGUGAUGGACACUUGAUCUUGAGAUGACGUCAUACUGGAUGAUCCUAGUGCACCCUAAAUCCAAUAAGUGUUCUUAUGAAAGACAGAAGAGGAGAAGAUACAGGAAAUAGAAGAAGGCUACUUGAGGAUGGAAGCAGAGAUUGGAGUUAUGCAGCUACAAACCAAAGAAUGCCUUGAGCCACCAGCAGCUGAAAGAGCUAGUCAGCAAUACAACUGGGAUUUGAUAUCAGAUUCAUACGAUUCCGAAGACCCUGACCACCAAAUGCAAAAGCUCCCAUAAUUUCCACGUGUUAUGGGAAGGAUCCAGUGGGAGAUGUCUGAAUCAUGAGGGCACGUAUGUCCCAUGCUGUUC
Molecule: long non-coding RNA, 3557 nt
Filed under: Homo sapiens (human)
Lineage: Eukaryota; Metazoa; Chordata; Mammalia; Primates; Hominidae
Description: HSALNT0351992
Source: RNAcentral